Non-coding RNA from Talaromyces islandicus, 81 nucleotides. The record is from the annotation of a GenBank genome assembly. Lineage: Eukaryota; Fungi; Ascomycota; Eurotiomycetes; Eurotiales; Trichocomaceae.
GGCAAAGUGGCGGAGUGGUUAACGCGUGUGACUCGAAAUCACAUUCCUUCGGGAGCGCAUGUUCGAAUCAUGCCUUUGUCG